This is a non-coding RNA of Malus domestica (apple), 469 nucleotides long. The record is from RefSeq and is a predicted model, not a curated record. NCBI's taxonomy places the organism in Eukaryota, Viridiplantae, Streptophyta, Magnoliopsida, Rosales, Rosaceae.
UUCAGGUUUCGUUGGUGAAGUUCCCGUUUUUCUUGCAAAGCCUCAAACUUACAUGAAUUUGAGAGACAGGACCCCUUGCUGCUUAUUUAAGCUAUCUCUCAAUCUUGUGCUUGUGGCUUCAGGCUGAAGAGUGUGAUCUAUCACUUUCGAGGGAACGGAGAAUUUCCUCGGCCAGUUUGAAUUUCCAAAUUUCAUGAGUUUGAAUGAUCUCUUCCCAGUACUUGAAAGCAUGUUGAAUAUCUUGCCAGGUAUCGGGACGCCUCUUGGUCAAAUGGAUCCAAAAGCAUUCUUGCUGCAAAAAUUUAAUGCAACAGCUCAAAGACGAGUGAUUAUAUGGUGGUGGUGUUUUUGUCUCAAAUAACAUUUCUUACGUUCAAGACACCCAUAUUCUUAGUUUGUUUCUCCGACUGUAUAACAACAAUCACCAGAUGGCUUAAAAUUUAUAAAAAGUAUAUUUUGAAUGAUUCUA